UACGUAGGGUGCAAGCGUUUAAUCGGAAUUACUGGGCGUAAAGCGUGCGCAGGCGGCUUUGCAAGACGGAUGUGAAAUCCCCGGGCUUAACCUGGGAACUGCAUUUGUGACUGCAUGGCUGGAGUGCGGCAGAGGGGGGUAGAAUUCCACGUGUAGCAGUGAAAUGCGUAGAGAUGUGGAGGAAUACCGAUGGCGAAGGCAGCCCCCUGGGAUAACACUGACGCUCAUGCACGAAAGCGUGGGGAGCAAACAGG
This 254-nucleotide ribosomal RNA is filed under the name uncultured bacterium. Its description in RNAcentral is "partial 16S ribosomal RNA". It matches the Rfam family "Bacterial small subunit ribosomal RNA", at positions 524 to 776 of the family's 1533-position model. The record is from RNAcentral.